CCGACAUGCAAACAUCCUCUGAAAGGCCAAAUACUGCUCAUGACACACAGAGGAGGUUUGCCUUGUGGCUUUGGCUCCAUGCUUCUAACUUCAUUUCUAUGCUAAGAAGCUGCUACUGUUCUGUAAACGGCCUCGGAUCACCCUACCUUCUUGGGGCUCAAACUAUGGCUCUUGCUGCCUCAGGAAAAUCAUGGUGAUCAGUGAUUAUGUUUGUCGUCAUCCCCUGUUGCAGUUAGCACAGUGCAGCUGUGGAAGCUGAUCGUGCAGGGCUGUGGUAAUUGCCGUGGAUUUCUGAGCCGUUCUCCAGCAGGGCCAGCCAGUCCUGAAGGCUGAGUAGAGGCCGGGAUUUGCCCGUCUGCCUGGAAUGUGACCGAGGCUGAAAGCUGACACCAGCUCGGUGGAAAAAGGCUUGUGAGCAAAGGCUGUCUCCAAGACAACAGAGUAUUUUCCCUGUGAUGCAUUUACACAGUGGGGUUAAAGUUCUGUGAAAGCAACAGCUGCUGUAAAAACAUUGUAUUAAAUAUGCUUAGAACUGUAAAACGCGUGCUCCUCGUGUUGCACUGUGCUCGAGAGAUAUGCGGAGACCUGUGGUAUGUCUGAAGGAGAAUUUCUACUCUUUCAAAGGCUGUUUUAAAAACACCAUACUACACUUCCAACUUUUUCUUGCUGAGAGAGUUUCUUUUUAGGACCGUUUUUCUCUAAAGUUGACUUUCAAGUUAAAACUGGAUGACUGAAA
Anas platyrhynchos (mallard) is the source of this 736-nucleotide long non-coding RNA. RefSeq lists it as uncharacterized. The record is from RefSeq and is a predicted model, not a curated record. NCBI's taxonomy places the organism in Eukaryota, Metazoa, Chordata, Aves, Anseriformes, Anatidae.